UGGGGAAUUUUGGACAAUGGGCGCAAGCCUGAUCCAGCCAUGCCGCGUGCAGGAUGAAGGCCUUCGGGUUGUAAACUGCUUUUGUACGGAACGAAAAGACUCCUUCUAAUAAAGGGGGUCCAUGACGGUACCGUAAGAAUAAGCACCGGCUAACUACGUGCCAGCAGCCGCGGUAAUACGUAGGGGGCGAGCGUUAAUCGGAAUUACUGGGCGUAACGCGAGCGCAGGCGGUUAUAUAAGACAGGUGUGAAAUCCCCGGGCUCAACCUGGGAACUGCAUUUGUGACUGUAUAGCUAGAGUACGGCAGAGGAGGAUGGAACUCCGCGUGUAGCAGUGAAAUGCGUAGAUAUGCGGAGGAACACCGAUGGCGAAGGCAAUCCCCUGGGCCUGCACUGACGCUCAUGCACGAAAGCGUGGGGAGCAAACA
RNAcentral lists this ribosomal RNA (427 nucleotides) under uncultured bacterium. RNAcentral's name for it is "bacterial SSU rRNA". It matches the Rfam family "Bacterial small subunit ribosomal RNA", at positions 355 to 774 of the family's 1533-position model. The record is from RNAcentral.